Sorex araneus (European shrew) is the source of this 135-nucleotide small nucleolar RNA. Its record names the gene SNORA70. It matches the Rfam family "Small nucleolar RNA SNORA70". Rfam says of the family: snoRNA U70 seems to be exclusive to mammals and is a member of the H/ACA class of snoRNA which contain H (ANANNA) and ACA box motifs. H/ACA box snoRNAs are involved in the conversion of uridines to pseudouridines (5-ribosyluracil) a constituent of structural RNAs (transfer, ribosomal, small nuclear, and small nucleolar). The record is from Ensembl. NCBI's taxonomy places the organism in Eukaryota, Metazoa, Chordata, Mammalia, Eulipotyphla, Soricidae.
CUGCUAAAAUAUAUUCCAAAAGGAAGUGCCCUGUGGAGUCCAGUUGGCGGUGGCUGCAGACAGCGAGCAGCCUCCUGGGCAGUCUACACCGCCUGUGGCUUGGAUGGGCUGUUGUAAGGGGCCCUGAAAAUGGUC